RNAcentral lists this ribosomal RNA (197 nucleotides) under uncultured bacterium. RNAcentral's name for it is "partial 16S ribosomal RNA". It matches the Rfam family "Bacterial small subunit ribosomal RNA", at positions 335 to 524 of the family's 1533-position model. The record is from RNAcentral.
ACUCCUACGGGAGGCAGCAGUGGGGAAUAUUGGACAAUGGGCGAAAGCCUGAUCCAGCCAUGCCGCGUGUGUGAAGAAGGUCUUCGGAUUGUAAAGCACUUUAAGUUGGGAGGAAGGGUUGUAGAGUAAUACUCUGCAAUUUUGACGUUACCGACAGAAUAAGCACCGGCUAACUCUGUGCCAGCAGCCGCGGUAAU